Pelobates cultripes (western spadefoot toad) is the source of this 1039-nucleotide non-coding RNA. NCBI's taxonomy places the organism in Eukaryota, Metazoa, Chordata, Amphibia, Anura, Pelobatidae. The record is from the annotation of a GenBank genome assembly.
AGGAGUAUAAAGAAUCUUAGACACCAUAAACUUUGUUCCACAAUCUUAGACACCAUAACAUAGCUAAGGGUAGCAAUAUGGCUGACAACAAGACAAUGUCAGCUUCCACAUAGUUCUUAAUUCUUCUGUUUGCUGGAUGUUCACCACAAUACUCUGUGCAACACCCCAAUUGUUGAAAGGGUAAUACAGAAAUAGCGGCAUUAGACAGCACUGCAUCUUCAGGACUUUCCAAGUUAGUUUUAUGUCCUCAUAAGUAAGCAUCUCAGUUUCUUCGGCCAGCAUGUUUUUUGACCAAACAGAUUUAAUUGCAAAAAAAGGUAGGUCAGCCAGAGAGAUUGGUGUGUAGUCCCAAAUAUCAGGCAGCACAAAUACUCCAGUACGGUCUCUAUAAUCAUACAAACACAAGGAUCAGUACGACAUCAAUAAAUUAAUUAUCUAGGCUAAACUCAAAUUAGAGACUAAAGUUAAACUCUUAACUAGUGUAACAUGUACGUCUCUCAGUUUUGUUUAUGUCCUUUAUAAAAUUUUAAUACAUAAUUUCCCUUUAAAAUGCCUUGUAUGGAUGAGAGAAGCACUCAUUCUAUAUAAAUGCUUGUUGAGUACUAAAACACUAACAUAUACAUAUUGGUAUAAUUCCCAAUAAAAUGCUGUUCUUAAACUUAAACCUUGAUUUGAUAAUCUCAAUUAAUUACUUUAAUAAAAUUUUGUGGACCCUGAUAACAUCUUUGGAAACCGAAACCUUUUAUAGAUCCCGAUGUGUGUGAUCAUGUUUUAAUACAUGUUGGAACCUCCAUACAGUUAUCCCACUUAAACAAUAUAUUUUUUUUCAGAACAACUAGGAAUGAAAUAGGAGAAACAAAAUAAAUUACUAUUGUUCUAAAGUGCUUUGUUUAAUACAGGUUUAGGAAGAGUUGUCUUGCUGUGUUGCAAGUGGCCUCUGAUAAGGAAGGGACAGCAAACUGUAGACAUAUGUUAUAUUAAGUUGCUCUCACUUGUCAGGUCUUGGAAACCCACUUAAUUUAUUGCAGAUGCCUCUAUU